This 468-nucleotide ribosomal RNA is filed under the name uncultured bacterium. RNAcentral's name for it is "partial 16S ribosomal RNA". It matches the Rfam family "Bacterial small subunit ribosomal RNA", at positions 28 to 507 of the family's 1533-position model. The record is from RNAcentral.
GACGAACGCUGGCGGCGUGCUUAACACAUGCAAGUCGAACGGAAAGGCCCUGCUUUUGUGGGGUGCUCGAGUGGCGAACGGGUGAGUAACACGUGAGUAACCUGCCCUUGACUUUGGGAUAACUUCAGGAAACUGGGGCUAAUACCGGAUAGGAGCUCCUGCUGCAUGGUGGGGGUUGGAAAGUUUCGGCGGUUGGGGAUGGACUGGCGGCUUAUCAGCUUGUUGGUGGGGUAGUGGCUUACCAAGGCUUUGACGGGUAGCCGGCCUGAGAGGGUGACCGGCCACAUUGGGACUGAGAUACGGACCAGAGUCAUACGGGAGGCAGCAGUGGGGAAUAUUGCACAAUGGGCGGAAGCGUGAUGAAGCAACGCCGCGUGCGGGAUGACGGCCUUCGGGUUGUAAACCGCUUUCGCCUGUGACGAAGCGUGAGUGACGGUAAUGGGUAAAGAAGCACCGGCUAACUACGUG